Molecule: non-coding RNA, 1325 nt
Organism: Punica granatum (pomegranate)
Lineage: Eukaryota; Viridiplantae; Streptophyta; Magnoliopsida; Myrtales; Lythraceae
Source: RefSeq, a predicted model, not a curated record
AGCAUCCAUCAAGAGAGGGGGGACAAAACCAAGCAUCAUGGGAUGACGGUGGUUUCAGCAACAGCACAAACCUACCGGUCCAUAUAACUGUAACUACCAGUCAUUAUAAGUCUGUCUUUUCCUCUUCUUCGUCUUUCCACACGUAUCCAGAGUUCUGAUAUUCCUUAUGUAAUUUGGGCUCUCUGCCUCUUUGCUGGGUCUCUCUGCAAUCUUUGAUUGGGAACCUUUCUGCGAGUUUUUCGGUUUAUACUUCCCCGAUGGCAAGGCCGGCAAACAAGAUUAUUAAUGCCAAGCUGGUGCUUCUCGGCGACAUGGGAACAGGGAAAACAAGUAUGGUCCUGAGAUUCGUGAAAGGCCAGUUUUAUGAUAACCAGGAACCCACAGUCGGGGCAGCCUUCUUCACCCAAAUAUUAUCAUUAGCUGAAGCAACUGUGAAGUUCGAUAUAUGGGACACAGCAGGACAAGAACGAUAUCACAGCUUGGCUCCUAUGUAUUACCGUGGAGCAGCCGCAGCAGUAGUUGUGUACGACAUCUCAAGCAUGGACACAUUCCUUCGAGCUAAAAAAUGGGUUCAAGAACUUCAAAGACAAGGAAACCAGAAUUUGGUGAUGGCAUUGGUGGGAAACAAAUUAGACCUGGAUCCAAAGAGAGAAGUACAAAAUGAGGAUGCAGAACAAUUUGCUCAAGAAAAUGGGAUGUUUUACCUCGAAACCUCAGCAAAGACUGCUCAAAACAUUAACGAUCUUUUCUUUGAGAUAGCAAAGAGACUGGCCCGGGCCUUGCCAUCAAGAACAGCUGGGAUAACCUUAACCGAUGAAAAACGUGAAAGAAAGAGAAGACGUUUUUGCUGCUUAGGGUGACUAACUGUUUGUGUGCAUUCUCAGAGAUUACUGAAUUCUGUCGGAGCAGCGGAAGAAAAUCGGGUUUAACAUGGUCAUCGUAAUCAGGCAAAUUAGGAUGAACAUGCCCAGGACACAUCUCGUUCAGAAACGACUUAGCCCGAUGAUGCCCUUUUUCUGUCUCAUUCUCAUUUGACUCAGUCGGGGAUGUGGACUCUGCUGGUAGCGAAGAUGCUCGAGUCGGUGGGGUUCCAAACUCUGCUUUCUCGCUCGCGUGCCUUCUUGAGUGGCUAGACUCAUGGGAGAAGUUGCUUUCUUGCAAAGGUGACGGUCUGAGGGACCCUUUCAGUCUGUUGCUCGGCUCAUAAGGAGACGCCUUCUUCUUACUAUAAUGCAUCAGCAGCCCAUCAAUAGCUCUAUCUUCUUCAUCCACUUCAUUGUGACUAUAACUUGUAUUUGCGGAUCUCGGGCUCUGUUCAGCUUCAC